This 394-nucleotide unclassified non-coding RNA is filed under the name soil metagenome. RNAcentral's name for it is "partial contains 5.8S ribosomal RNA, internal transcribed spacer 2, and large subunit ribosomal RNA". The stretch from base 1 to 120 matches the Rfam family "5.8S ribosomal RNA", at positions 35 to 154 of the family's 154-position model. The record is from RNAcentral.
GAUGAAGAACGUAGUGAAAUGCGAUAAGUAAUGUGAAUUGCAGAUUUCAGUGAAUCAUCGAAUCUUUGAACGCACCUUGCGCUCCUUGGUAUUCCGAGGAGCAUGCCUGUUUGAGUGUCAUUAAAUUCUCAACUCUCCAACUGUUGUCAUGACUGGUGGUAGAGCUUGGACGUGAGGUUUCUGCCGGCUCCUUGUUGAGUCUGGCUCCCUUGAAAAUGAUUAGCGCAGCUUUGCACUGUCCGCUUCAGGUGUGAUAAUUUAUCUACGCCCGACUAGCGACGCGCAUGAAUGGCUUUGUGCUUCUAACCGUCUCGAAAGAGACAAUACCUUUUGAACUUGACCUCAAAUCAGGUAGGACUACCCGCUGAACUUAAGCAUAUCAAUAAGCGGAGGA